UCCCUUGAGGACUAGUGGUUAGGCCUCGGCACUCUCACUGUUGCGGCCCGAGUUCGACCCCUGGCCAGGGAG
This 72-nucleotide transfer RNA is filed under the name Pangasianodon hypophthalmus (striped catfish). RNAcentral describes it as "tRNA-Glu". Lineage: Eukaryota; Metazoa; Chordata; Actinopteri; Siluriformes; Pangasiidae. The record is from RNAcentral.